Molecule: ribosomal RNA, 377 nt
Filed under: uncultured delta proteobacterium
Lineage: Bacteria; Deltaproteobacteria
Description: bacterial SSU rRNA
Rfam family: Bacterial small subunit ribosomal RNA
Source: RNAcentral
UAAUACGGAGGGUGCAAGCGUUGUUCGGAAUUAUUGGGCGUAAAGCGCGUGUAGGUGGCUAGGAAAGUUGGGUGUGAAAGCCCGGGGCCCAACCCCGGAAUUGCACUCAAAACUUCUUGGCUAGAGUCUCGGAGAGGAAAGCGGAAUUCCCGGUGUAGAGGUGAAAUUCGUAGAUAUCGGGAGGAACACCAGUGGCGAAGGCGGCUUUCUGGACGAUGACUGACACUGAGACGCGAAAGCGUGGGGAGCAAACAGGAUUAGAUACCCUGGUAGUCCACGCCGUAAACGUUGUGUGCUAGGUGUCGCGGGUAUUGACCCCUGCGGUGCCGUCGUUAACGCAUUUAGCACACCGCCUGGGGAGUACGGCCGCAAGGCUA